AAAAGAAUAAGAGAAGUAAGAGGAGUCGUCGGUAGAAGAGAAAAAAUAGGAGUUGGAGGAGAAAGAAGAUAAAACGGAUGAAAGAAAAUAAGUGACAAAGAACAAAAGAAGAAGAAAGAGGCAGAAGAAAAAGAAGAAAGAAGAUGACCAAAAAAGAAGGGAAAUAAGAUAAAAAAAGCGAAGAAGAACAAAGGAAGGAGGGGGACUGAGAAAAAUAAACAAGAUGAAGAUGAGGAGAAGGAGAAUAAAACUUAGAAAAAAGAGCAAAAAUAAAGAAAGGAAGAAUGAGAAGAAAAGAUGUGAGCAAAACCAAAAGGAAGAGUACCAAGAAAGAGUAAAAGGAGGUGGAGAAAGAUGAUUGAAAAAGAGAAGAAAACCAUAUAAUAUACUAUACAAGAUAUAUGCCCGUUGCAACGCAACGGGUUUUGUUUGAUGUUUUAAUUUAAUAAAAACC
RNAcentral lists this long non-coding RNA (454 nucleotides) under Brassica napus (rape). Its description in RNAcentral is "long non-coding RNA (BNAP_LNC015935)". Lineage: Eukaryota; Viridiplantae; Streptophyta; Magnoliopsida; Brassicales; Brassicaceae. The record is from RNAcentral.